RNAcentral lists this unclassified non-coding RNA (373 nucleotides) under uncultured bacterium. RNAcentral's name for it is "contains 16S-23S intergenic spacer region". The record is from RNAcentral.
UCCGGUUUGUCACCGGCAGUCUCCCUAGAGUGCCCUUGCGUAGCAACUAGGGACAAGGGUUGCGCUCGUUGCGGGACUUAACCCAACAUCUCACGACACGAGCUGACGACAGCCAUGCAGCACCUGUACACGUGUCCCGAAGGAGGGCCCGUGUUUCCACGGGCUUUCACGUGUAUGUCAAGCCCAGGUAAGGUUCUUCGCGUUGCUUCGAAUUAAACCGCAUGCUCCACCGCUUGUGCGGGCCCCCGUCAAUUCCUUUGAGUUUCAGCCUUGCGGCUGUACUCCCCAGGCGGGGCACUUAAUGCGUUAGCGCCGGCACUCAGGGGGUCGCUCCCCCAAGCACCUAGUGCCCAUCGUUUACGGCGUGGACUAC